RNAcentral lists this ribosomal RNA (202 nucleotides) under uncultured bacterium. RNAcentral describes it as "partial 16S ribosomal RNA". It matches the Rfam family "Bacterial small subunit ribosomal RNA", at positions 1298 to 1500 of the family's 1533-position model. The record is from RNAcentral.
UUGCAGGCUGCAACCCGCCUGCAUGAAGUCGGAAUUGCUAGUAAUCGCGGAUCAGCAUGCCGCGGUGAAUACGUUCCCGGGCCUUGUACACACCGCCCGUCACACCAUGGGAGCCGGUAAUACCCGAAGUCAGUAGUCCAACCACGCGAGGACGCUGCCGAAGGCAGGAUUGGCGACUGGGGUGAAGUCGUAACAAGGUACC